This 500-nucleotide ribosomal RNA is filed under the name uncultured bacterium. RNAcentral's name for it is "partial 16S ribosomal RNA". It matches the Rfam family "Bacterial small subunit ribosomal RNA", at positions 29 to 523 of the family's 1533-position model. The record is from RNAcentral.
AUUGAACGCUGGCGGCAUGCCUUACACAUGCAAGUCGAACGGUAGAGGGGGGCAACCCCUUCGAGAGUGGCGAACGGGUGAGUAAUGCAUCGGAACGUGCCCAGUCGUGGGGGAUAGCCCGGGGAAACCCGGAUUAAUACCGCAUACGACCUGAGGGUGAAAGCGGGGGACUCGCAAGGGCCUCGCGCGAUUGGAGCGGCCGAUGUCGGAUUAGGCAGUUGGUGGGGUAAAGGCCAACCAAGCCUGCGAUCCGUAGCUGGUCUGAGAGGACGACCGGCCACACUGGGACUGAGACACGGCGCAGACUCCUACGGGAGGCAGCAGUGGGGAAUUUUGGACAAUGGGGGCAACCCUGAUCCAGCCAUGCCGCGUGCGGGAAGAAGGCCUUCGGGUUGUAAACCGCUUUUGUCAGGGAAGAAAUGUCCUGGGCUAAUACCCUGGGGGGAUGACGGUACCUGAAGAAUAAGCACCGGCUAACUACGUGCCAGCCGCCGCCGUAA